RNAcentral lists this transfer RNA (71 nucleotides) under Dermanyssus gallinae. RNAcentral describes it as "tRNA-Gly". Lineage: Eukaryota; Metazoa; Arthropoda; Arachnida; Mesostigmata; Dermanyssidae. The record is from RNAcentral.
UUUUUAUUAGUAUACAUAGUAUGUCUAAUUUCCAAUUAGAAGGAUUCCAUUGAAAUAAAAAAUAAAUAAAA